AAACAUGUAUUGUGUGAGGACACCCUUCGUCCGACCUAAUCUUGACGAUCAUCUGUAGCAGCACUUCGAAACUCCCAGGCUGUUUUCAUCAGCAAGCUUACAGCUGACCACAUGAUGGAACUCGAUAAUACUACACUGUACGAUGUACUUGAGAUUCCAAUGAAUACCCGUCGAAGCGAUGUGGUCAUCAGCAUGAAAGCAAUACAGGGCCGCCUUUAUA
Long non-coding RNA from Triticum dicoccoides, 220 nucleotides. RefSeq lists it as uncharacterized. The record is from RefSeq and is a predicted model, not a curated record. The transcript has 3 exons. NCBI's taxonomy places the organism in Eukaryota, Viridiplantae, Streptophyta, Magnoliopsida, Poales, Poaceae.